GUUGCUUCUCAGCCCCUUGGCUAAGAUCAAGCACGGGUACCUAUUCUUAUCAGUUUAACAUCUGAUACAUCCUCUAUCCAAUGACAACAUAUUAAAUGGAUUUUUGGAGCAGAGAGUUGGAAUAGGAGUUGCUCCGCCCACACCAAUGCAUCCACCUGGUACUGUGGUACCUUUGGAAAUGGUGCACCCCUA
Molecule: small nuclear RNA, 192 nt
Organism: Phyllostomus discolor (pale spear-nosed bat)
Lineage: Eukaryota; Metazoa; Chordata; Mammalia; Chiroptera; Phyllostomidae
Product: U2 spliceosomal RNA
Exons: 1
Source: RefSeq, a predicted model, not a curated record